CCCCUGCCGGAGCGGGGCCGCCCGGGUCCUAGCGCCGCCACGUGACCCCGUUCCCGGCGCUACGGGUCGGUCGGCGCAGGGGCUCCCCGGCCGCGUGCAGCCCGGCUCCGCGGCGCGCCGGGGCGGUGGAAGGGCGCCCGCUCGAAGCGGAGCCCCGGGGGGGGCCUGGGGCCGCGCAGGCCGUCGCGCGGGACACCGGCACGAGCUUCCUGAGGCACUCGCGGGGCGCCACGCGGGGCUGGGUCCAGCCCGCAUGGGAUGUUGCCCUAGCUGCCCAAAGGAGCCAUGGGCUUUCAUGAACAGAUUGGCCUCUGUAGCUGAGGUUUGUCCUGUGCUGCCAUUUCUGUUUUCCACGGAGCGAUCACGGUUCCUUUGUUGUUUCUUCACAUAAGAAGGACUUCUAUGAGCUUCCUUGCUUUUUAAAUUCAGGUUAGUUGAAGGUAAUUGCAUAAGAGCAACAAAGUGUUGUGGAGCUUCUGAAGCAAGUGGUACAGUGCCUGCAGCCCAGCAAAAUUGGUGGAGUCCAGCAACUGAAGACACUUUUUGUCUCUACAGCAGAGAAGGCUAACGGUAUCCUGUCUACCAAAUAGAAGAGUACAUGGCUGGCUCAUGGGCAAUUUGUUGUCCAUCAAGACCCCAGUCUGUAUCAAUGCAUGGGCGUUAUUCCUUGCCAGGUUCAGUACUUUGCAUUUUCCUCUGUUGAUCUUCAUGAAAUUCAUGGAUUGUUUCCAUUAAAGAUGGAGUAUAGGUGUAGUGAAUCUAUUAACUUUGCUAUUCACAUCAGUAAAAACAGCAAGAGAAUGCUGACAAUUUUUACCCAGUCAGGCUUACAAAGAGGAAAAAGUG
Cygnus olor (mute swan) is the source of this 846-nucleotide long non-coding RNA. RefSeq lists it as uncharacterized. NCBI's taxonomy places the organism in Eukaryota, Metazoa, Chordata, Aves, Anseriformes, Anatidae. The transcript is spliced from 3 exons. The record is from RefSeq and is a predicted model, not a curated record.